GACGAACGCUGGCGGCGUGCCUAAUACAUGCAAGUUGAGCGCUGAAGGUUGGUACUUGUACCAACUGGAUGAGCAGCGAACGGGUGAGUAACGCGUGGGGCAUCUGCCUUUGAGCGGGGGACAACAUUUGGAAACGAAUGCUAAUACCGCAUAAAAACUUUAAACACAAGUUUUAAGUUUGAAAGAUGCAAUUGCAUCACUCAAAGAUGAUCCCGCGUUGUAUUAGCUAGUUGGUGAGGUAAAGGCUCACCAAGGCGAUGAUACAUAGCCGACCUGAGAGGGGGAUCGGCCACAUUGGGACGGAGACAGGGCCCAAACGACUAAGGGAGGGAGCAGUAGGGAAUGGUAGGCAAUGGACGAAAGUCUGACCGAGCAACGCCGCGGGAGGGAAGAAGGGUCUCGGAUCGGAAAAAUCGGUUGGUAGAGAAGAACGUUGGUGAGAGUGGAAAGCGCAUCAAGUGACGGUAACUACACAGAAAGGGACGGCUAACUACGUG
This 497-nucleotide ribosomal RNA is filed under the name uncultured bacterium. Its description in RNAcentral is "partial 16S ribosomal RNA". It matches the Rfam family "Bacterial small subunit ribosomal RNA", at positions 28 to 507 of the family's 1533-position model. The record is from RNAcentral.